UGGGGAAUAUUGCACAAUGGGCGCAAGCCUGAUGCAGCCAUGCCGCGUGUGUGAAGAAGGCCUUCGGGUUGUAAAGCACUUUCAGCGAGGAGGAAGGUGGUGAACUUAAUACGUUCAUCAAUUGACGUUACUCGCAGAAGAAGCACCGGCUAACUCCGUGCCAGCAGCCGCGGUAAUACGGAGGGUGCAAGCGUUAAUCGGAAUUACUGGGCGUAAAGCGCACGCAGGCGGUUUGUUAAGUCAGAUGUGAAAUCCCCGGGCUCAACCUGGGAACUGCAUUUGAAACUGGCAAGCUAGAGUCUCGUAGAGGGGGGUAGAAUUCCAGGUGUAGCGGUGAAAUGCGUAGAGAUCUGGAGGAAUACCGGUGGCGAAGGCGGCCCCCUGGACGAAGACUGACGCUCAGGUGCGAAAGCGUGGGGAGCAAACAGGAUUAGAUACCCCUGGUAGUCCACGCUGUAAACGAUGUCGAUUUUGGAGGUUGUGCCCUUGAGGCGUGGCUUCCGGAGCUAACGCGUUAAAUCGACCGCCUGGGGAG
RNAcentral lists this ribosomal RNA (535 nucleotides) under uncultured bacterium. Its description in RNAcentral is "partial 16S ribosomal RNA". It matches the Rfam family "Bacterial small subunit ribosomal RNA", at positions 355 to 880 of the family's 1533-position model. The record is from RNAcentral.